This 329-nucleotide unclassified non-coding RNA is filed under the name soil metagenome. RNAcentral's name for it is "partial contains 5.8S ribosomal RNA, internal transcribed spacer 2, and large subunit ribosomal RNA". The stretch from base 1 to 120 matches the Rfam family "5.8S ribosomal RNA", at positions 35 to 154 of the family's 154-position model. The record is from RNAcentral.
GAUGAAGAACGCAGCGAAAUGCGAUAAGUAAUGUGAAUUGCAGAAUUCAGUGAAUCAUCGAAUCUUUGAACGCACAUUGCGCCCCUUGGUAUUCCGAGGGGCAUGCCUGUUCGAGCGUCAUUAUAACCCCUCAAGCUCAGCUUGGUGUUGGGGCCUGCUGCACUGGCAGCCCUUAAAAUCAGUGGCGGCGCCAUCUGGCUCUGAGCGUAGUAAUUCUUCUCGCUAUGGAGUCCUGGUGGAUGCUUGCCAUCAACCCCCAAUUUUUCUAUGGUUGACCUCGGAUCAGGUAGGGAUACCCGCUGAACUUAAGCAUAUCAAUAAGCGGAGGA